Long non-coding RNA from Equus quagga, 1131 nucleotides. RefSeq lists it as uncharacterized. The record is from RefSeq and is a predicted model, not a curated record. Lineage: Eukaryota; Metazoa; Chordata; Mammalia; Perissodactyla; Equidae. The transcript is spliced from 3 exons.
CGGAGGGAGCGCGAAGCGCGCUGAGAGCGGGCAGACCCGGGCGUGGGCCCUGGGAGCUCUAUGGCUUUGAUUGACUCCAUCCGGGCUUCUCUUUCAGGAUUGAUGGAGUAUUUGAUGGUAGUGAGACGGAAGAGUGGGAGAAUGAGGAUUGUGAACGGAGAGGUGGAGAACGACACCCCGCAGGAGAAUGGGGACGGCGGAAAACAUACUGAAGUUGACUCUUAAAAGCUUAUGUGCCUGCACCUCCUGGAGAGUCUUCAUUUAUCCCCAGGGACGUGUGUAUCUCGGUUCAAAGAAUGCCCGUCUAAUUUAUUUUAUCCUCCUUCCAACUGGACAUUCUCAUCCUUGCUUUCUGCAGUCUGUGCUGUUUCCCCGACAUGGUCACCAUUUCUUUGUUCACCAUUCUUGCACUCCGUUAUUCUUUUUCGUCUUAUUGAAGUAUAUCCUUUAGAAUGACCUUUGGUGAGGAUCUGUUGAUAGUAAACUUUAUUUUCUGGAAGUACCUUUUUAAUGUCUUUGCACUAAAUUAUAGUUAUAAUUUUAGAUCUAGGUUAUUUCCUCUCAAAACUUUGUAUCAUUCAGUUGUCUUCUAGCUUAAAUUGUUGCUGUUGGGAAAUUAAGUUUCAGCAUUAUUCUUUUUGGGCAAUCAAUUUUUUCUUUGUUACAUUUAAGACCUCCUCUUUGUCACUCCGCAGUUUCACUAUAACCCUAUCUAUCCUGCUUAUGAUGUAUUGUGCUUCCUAAAUGCAGUAAUUCCUAACUAUGACCAAAUCUAGGAAAUUUUCAGCUGUUGUUUAAUAUUACCUAUUCUUUUGUCUUUGGAACUCCAAUUUUAUAUAGAUUCAAUCUUUUUCACUCUAUUCCCCAAGUCUCUUAAUAUCUUUUAUGAUUCUCCACGCAUUGGUGUAUUUCUGCUGUAUUCUAGGUAAUGUAUACUGGGUAAGUUUUAGUUUACUUGUUUUCUUUGGCUGUGUUCAAUCUGCUGUUUAACGUCCAUUCUGUUUUUACUUCCCAUGACUUUUUCAUUUGUGUAAGUUGAUUAUUUUUCAAAUUUUCCUGGUCAUACUUCAAUGACUUUUAUUUCUUGCUUGGCUUACUGACACCUUCCUUUAUUCCUCUAAAUAUUUUUAA